GCGGGGCCCACGCCCCCAGGUCCUCGCGGCGCCCGCGGCUAAGAUCACCGUAAAUGUCCGAAUAUGGGGACACCCACGAUUUGAGGCUCUAACACACUUUUCUCAGUGACAAGGCUGACUCCACCUCCCUCCCCAGGGCCUGUGCAGAAAGGGUUUCUGGCUCGGGGAGGCCUCUCCUCGCCUGCCCCCAGUCAAGCCUUCCUGUGAGUUGCCCGGCUGUUCUCUGCCACCCCAGGAGCUGCAAGGCGGUCAAGUUUGGGGGUGAUAACACUAACUGGCAGGGCCACACUAAAGACUGCACAGCUACACGAUCCACUCUGAAUUCAUGCCCAACCCGACUGUUCCACGAGCAGCCCGCUCGGAGUACAGGGAAGUUAAUAUCAAACCUCUGCCUCCACGGACUGCCAGGGACCGGAGGCAG
Molecule: long non-coding RNA, 421 nt
Organism: Leopardus geoffroyi (Geoffroy's cat)
Lineage: Eukaryota; Metazoa; Chordata; Mammalia; Carnivora; Felidae
Exons: 3
Source: RefSeq, a predicted model, not a curated record